RNAcentral lists this transfer RNA (64 nucleotides) under Cavia porcellus (domestic guinea pig). It matches the Rfam family "tRNA". Rfam says of the family: Transfer RNA (tRNA) molecules are approximately 80 nucleotides in length. Their secondary structure includes four short double-helical elements and three loops (D, anti-codon, and T loops). Lineage: Eukaryota; Metazoa; Chordata; Mammalia; Rodentia; Caviidae. The record is from Rfam by way of RNAcentral.
GGAGAUUUAGCUCAGUGGCAUAAGUGCCUGCCUUGUAAGCAGGCAAUUGUGAGUUCAAUCUCCA